This is a non-coding RNA of Gossypium hirsutum (cotton), 107 nucleotides long. Lineage: Eukaryota; Viridiplantae; Streptophyta; Magnoliopsida; Malvales; Malvaceae. The record is from Rfam.
AUACUAUGAUGAAGGCAUUUUAUUAAUAACUCUUUAAAUCGUUCUCAUACCUCAUACAAGGACUCGUCAUCAGAUUGUUGAAAUGUGGUAAUUUCAUUUUUGAGCCU